RNAcentral lists this ribosomal RNA (193 nucleotides) under uncultured cyanobacterium. Its description in RNAcentral is "partial 23S ribosomal RNA". It matches the Rfam family "Bacterial large subunit ribosomal RNA", at positions 1 to 207 of the family's 2925-position model. Lineage: Bacteria; Bacillati; Cyanobacteriota. The record is from RNAcentral.
GGUCAAGCUACAAAGAGCUCACGGCGGAUACCUUGGCACACAGAGGCGAUGAAGGACGUGGUUACCUGCGAUAAGUCUCGGGGAGCUGGAAACACGCUUUGAUCCGGGAAUUUCCGAAUGGGGCAACCCCUAGAACGGCCAGCUGAAUCCAUAGGCUGGCGCGAGCCAACCCAGCGAACUGAAACAUCUUAGU